RNAcentral lists this ribosomal RNA (480 nucleotides) under uncultured bacterium. Its description in RNAcentral is "partial 16S ribosomal RNA". It matches the Rfam family "Bacterial small subunit ribosomal RNA", at positions 355 to 829 of the family's 1533-position model. The record is from RNAcentral.
UAGGGAAUCUUCCACAAUGGACGCAAGUCUGAUGGAGCAACGCCGCGUGAGUGAAGAAGGUUUUCGGACCGUAAAGCUCUGUUGUUGGUGAAGAAGGAUAGAGGUAGUAACUGGCCUUUAUUUGACGGUAAUCAACCAGAAAGUCACGGCUAACUACGUGCCAGCAGCCGCGGUAAUCGUAGGUGGCAAGCGUUGUCCGGAUUUAUUGGGCGUAAAGCGAGCGCAGGCGGAAGAAUAAGUCUGAUGUGAAAGCCCUCGGCUUAACCGAGGAAUUGCAUCGGAAACUGUUUUCUUGAGUGCAGAAGAGGAGAGUAGAACUCCAUGUGUAGCGGUGGAAUGCGUAGAUAUAUGGAAGAAUACCAGUGGCGAAGGCGGCUCUCUGGUCUGCAACUGACGCUGAGGCUCGAAAGCAUGGGUAGCGAACAGGAUUAGAUACCCUGGUAGUCCAUGCCGUAAACGAUGAGUGCUAAGUGUUGGGAG